Poecile atricapillus (Black-capped chickadee) is the source of this 799-nucleotide long non-coding RNA. RefSeq lists it as uncharacterized. The transcript is spliced from 5 exons. NCBI's taxonomy places the organism in Eukaryota, Metazoa, Chordata, Aves, Passeriformes, Paridae. The record is from RefSeq and is a predicted model, not a curated record.
UUUACCUGUUGGAAAUUAUUACACUGGUUUGUCUGGGUAAGAAGAAUCAGCAAGAGAAUAAUCCUUCUGUGGCCAUGGGAUAGUGCAGUUGAAAUCUCUUGCUUUUCCUGCCAUCCUCAGUCCCAUUUCCCCAUCACACAAAUAUUAGACUUCAGAGAUGUUCAUCUGAUGCUGGGAUGAGUCAAUAUACCUGGUUUUAGAUGCUCCAGGAGCCCAACGGAGACAACAAAUAUUCUAGGGCAGGAAACCUGAUAAGUUCAGGUCCUGGCUCUGAUCCGGUUGCUUCUCAGACUAAAAGAAAGAGAAAAAGAAGUCUCCAGGCUGGAAGGUGCUGGAAGCUUAAAAAUGUGAGAAGCUGAAUUUUGCACUAAAAGAGGAACAAUUUUAAACAAGAAUUACUUGGAGAAUGCAGAACUGUUCAAGGAAAAAUGUUAGGCUGCUUAUUACGAUUGACAGAGCAGUGCACAUUGCUGGGCUUCAUCUAGGGGAGGAUUAAAAGAAUCCUUACACACCUUCCCACCAGAAUUCACAGUUAGAAGAUGCCAGAAGAUUGUUUUGAUCUGAUACGCACUGGAAAAAGCUUUUACUGUUUAUUUAAAAUAAAGGCCAGCUUCCAUACGGCUCUUGUUGCCCCUGCUCUCUGCCAAGGCUUUUCAGUGUGGAAACAUGACUGCAGCAGGUGAGCACUAAUGCACAGACAAGAGGGGAAUGCUCAGAUGCACACGAGAAAAUGACAAGUCCCCUACAAACACACUCCAGGGUCUUACUAGAAAAAAGGGCUGGACUACAAAGAGAGAAG